CAAUCCCCAGAGUUCUAUGCAGCCCCCGCCUCGUUGGAUGAAACCUCCCAAGGUCCGGGAUGCGGUCCGAUUCCUCCCCCUGGUGGUCUGAGGCGUCGCCACCACGAUUACAAGACCCGCGCGGAGGGUUACUGCUUGUAGUCCCGAAACUCACUGACAUGGAACAGGGGCGAACCUGAGUGAUCACGGAUACGCCCCACCCUCAGCCCAGCCCUUCCAUCCGUCAUCGCUUUGCUGCUCUUGUGCUGGUUCUUAGGGACACACUGGUGAAUAAGAUACUGUCCCUAGCCUCCAGUGAAAUCACAGUCUAGUGGAAGAGUCUGACAAAUCAAUUACAACACCGCGAUAUGGGCUCCGAUGGCGGACACAAUGGGGGGUGUGGGAACCCCGAAAGGGGCACCUGCCCAGGCUUGGAGGAAAUGGGAUGGUGUCAGCAAGGCUUCUUAGAGAUCUAUGUUAAAAUUAAGAACUGAGGGAACAGGACUUAGCCAGGAGCACAGGAAUUGUGAAGAAUGUUUUACACUCAGUAACACAAGAGUGUGAGGGUUGCCACAUCCUUGAGUCUUGUAAACUUCUGUAACAAAUUUGGAUCAUUCAAGCAACUUUAAAAACUU
Molecule: long non-coding RNA, 614 nt
Organism: Neofelis nebulosa (Clouded leopard)
Lineage: Eukaryota; Metazoa; Chordata; Mammalia; Carnivora; Felidae
Exons: 2
Source: RefSeq, a predicted model, not a curated record